GGAAGACUGGCUUCUAAAUCUUGGAGACGGGAGGAUUACAAAUUAAUGAAUCUCGCUCAUAGGGAAGAUAAAAAGGUACUGGGAAAAGCUCAGAGAUCUUGGCAGCUGAAGGAAACAGAAAAGAGAUUUGAUCUCCUGUAGUCUCCAUUGCAUGGUUGCCAUGGAGCUGCACAAAUCAUGCGUCUUGGCUAAGGUUGGGUAACUGGGCUCAAAGGUGUUUCGCCGACUCAGCUAACAAGGGAAACAAGAGCCACGAUGAAUCAAUAAAAAUGCAGGGCCGUUAAGGGUUGGUUUUCUAUCUUGAAGGAUUAGUCGCUCAACAGUUCAACGCUCAUUCGAUGGGUUGUUCACCAGUUUGUGGAUCCCAUCCUGAAUGCCCCGUUGUUUUCAGUUUGCUCAUUUGUUCGUCAUUCUCCAAAUGACCAUACACCUGGCGGUUCUCAAAAUGACCUUUUACCAGUUCGUCGACCAUUCACCUGUUUGGAGAUUGUAAGGAUUUGAAUAGUGGGUUGGAAGGUUAUCUCAAAAAGUUUUAGUUCACUUUUUAUAAUUUCUUAUUAGUAAGUUGAGUAAAAUAGCUUCACUAGGGCGUUCCUGAUAAUUAAUAAGAAUGUAAUUUUUGGGUUGACAUUUGGGUAUGGGGUUCACAUGGGAUGAUCACGUUCUACC
Long non-coding RNA from Papaver somniferum (opium poppy), 669 nucleotides. RefSeq lists it as uncharacterized. The record is from RefSeq and is a predicted model, not a curated record. The transcript has 4 exons. Lineage: Eukaryota; Viridiplantae; Streptophyta; Magnoliopsida; Ranunculales; Papaveraceae.